GACGAACCGUGCGAACGUUAUUCGGAAUCACUGGGCUUAAAGGGAGCGUAGGCGGGCUAUCAAGUCUGGGGUGAAAUCCCACGGCUCAACCGCGGAACUGCCUCAGAUACUGAUGGCCUCGAGGGAGAUAGGGGCAUGCGGAACUGUAGGUGGAGCGGUGAAAUGCGUUGAUAUCUACAGGAACUCCGGUGGCGAAAGCGGCGUGCUGGAUCUCUCUGACGCUGAGGCUCGAAAGCUAGGGGAGCAAACGGG
RNAcentral lists this ribosomal RNA (252 nucleotides) under uncultured bacterium. RNAcentral describes it as "partial 16S ribosomal RNA". It matches the Rfam family "Bacterial small subunit ribosomal RNA", at positions 524 to 776 of the family's 1533-position model. The record is from RNAcentral.